UAGGGAAUAUUGGACAAUGGGGGCAACCCUGAUCCAGCCAUGCCGCGCGAGUGAAGAAGGCCCUCGGGUUGUAAAGCUCUUUUGUCCGGAAAGAAAAGCUUCGGGUUAAUACCCCGGGGUUCUGACGGUACCGGAAGAAUAAGCACCGGCUAACUUCGUGCCAGCAGCCGCGGUAAUACGAAGGGUGCAAGCGUUACUCGGAAUUACUGGGCGUAAAGCGUGCGUAGGUGGUUGUUUAAGUCUGAUGUGAAAGCCCUGGGCUCAACCUGGGAAUGGCAUUGGAAACUGGGCAGCUAGAGUGCGGUAGAGGGUAGUGGAAUUCCCGGUGUAGCAGUGAAAUGCGUAGAGAUCGGGAGGAACAUCUGUGGCGAAGGCGACUGCCUGGACCAGCACUGACACUGAGGCACGAAAGCGUGGGGAGCAAACA
RNAcentral lists this ribosomal RNA (427 nucleotides) under uncultured bacterium. RNAcentral's name for it is "bacterial SSU rRNA". It matches the Rfam family "Bacterial small subunit ribosomal RNA", at positions 355 to 774 of the family's 1533-position model. The record is from RNAcentral.